This 615-nucleotide ribosomal RNA is filed under the name Salmonella enterica subsp. enterica serovar Infantis. RNAcentral describes it as "bacterial SSU rRNA". It matches the Rfam family "Bacterial small subunit ribosomal RNA", at positions 1 to 605 of the family's 1533-position model. RNAcentral also lists the same sequence under 1 other name. The record is from RNAcentral. Lineage: Bacteria; Pseudomonadati; Pseudomonadota; Gammaproteobacteria; Enterobacterales; Enterobacteriaceae.
AAAUUGAAGAGUUUGAUCAUGGCUCAGAUUGAACGCUGGCGGCAGGCCUAACACAUGCAAGUCGAACGGUAACAGGAAGCAGCUUGCUGCUUCGCUGACGAGUGGCGGACGGGUGAGUAAUGUCUGGGAAACUGCCUGAUGGAGGGGGAUAACUACUGGAAACGGUGGCUAAUACCGCAUAACGUCGCAAGACCAAAGAGGGGGACCUUCGGGCCUCUUGCCAUCAGAUGUGCCCAGAUGGGAUUAGCUUGUUGGUGAGGUAACGGCUCACCAAGGCGACGAUCCCUAGCUGGUCUGAGAGGAUGACCAGCCACACUGGAACUGAGACACGGUCCAGACUCCUACGGGAGGCAGCAGUGGGGAAUAUUGCACAAUGGGCGCAAGCCUGAUGCAGCCAUGCCGCGUGUAUGAAGAAGGCCUUCGGGUUGUAAAGUACUUUCAGCGGGGAGGAAGGUGUUGCGGUUAAUAACCGCAGCAAUUGACGUUACCCGCAGAAGAAGCACCGGCUAACUCCGUGCCAGCAGCCGCGGUAAUACGGAGGGUGCAAGCGUUAAUCGGAAUUACUGGGCGUAAAGCGCACGCAGGCGGUCUGUCAAGUCGGAUGUGAAAUCCCCG